UACGGAGGGUGCGAGCGUUAGCAGGAAUCACUGGGUUUAAAGGGUGCGUAGGCGGCUGGAUAAGUCAGGGGUGAAAGCCCGCAGCUUAACUGCGGAACUGCCUUUGAUACUGUCGAGCUUGAAAGAGGUUGAGGUCAGCGGAACGUGACAUGUAGCGGUGAAAUGCAUAGAUAUGUCACAGAACACCGAUUGCGAAGGCAGCUGGCUGGACCUACUUUGACGCUGAGGCACGAAAGCGUGGGGAGCGAACAGG
This 253-nucleotide ribosomal RNA is filed under the name uncultured bacterium. RNAcentral's name for it is "partial 16S ribosomal RNA". It matches the Rfam family "Bacterial small subunit ribosomal RNA", at positions 524 to 776 of the family's 1533-position model. The record is from RNAcentral.